Syngnathoides biaculeatus (alligator pipefish) is the source of this 3186-nucleotide long non-coding RNA. RefSeq lists it as uncharacterized. The transcript is spliced from 3 exons. The record is from RefSeq and is a predicted model, not a curated record. Lineage: Eukaryota; Metazoa; Chordata; Actinopteri; Syngnathiformes; Syngnathidae.
UGUUAACAUCAGGUUACGUACUUAAAGGGGAAAUCCAGUGCUUUGCAUGAAUAGUGUAUCAAUGGGUCAUGUAAUAUGUACCCUAUUUUGACAAUGUGAUGUUAAAUCCUGUCUCAUUUAAUAGUGUUUGGAGAAGAUUUUUUUUUAAUCGACAAUGACGAAUUUUUAGGGGCGCUGCCAUUUUCAGGAGUCACAUGAUCUACAUGGGUGUAUGUAACGUGUCCCGUACUGCAACAAAGGCUCGAUUAAGUGGGACACCAUUAUGCCCAGCGCUGAUUUCUCGGAUUUAUCCUCAUCUGAUGAAGAAAUAGCAGUAUCGGUUGAUCGGGAAGACGGAGGACUACUUCCAUACAGAUUUGAACCUGUGGCUGUAAUUAAUGUUGAAUAUUCGGAUGGUUCUUUGGGCGGAAUGACACGGAGUCUGACUACUCGGAGGCCUACGCGCGACAUAAGUGCAUGUAAACGAAGGCCCCCGGGAGCUUCGGGCUGGCAGCCCCGGAUUGGUUCUUCGGACGGGAAUGACAUGGAGUCUGACGAGGGAGCUCGGCGGCGGGCCACGAGCCGAGCUUUCAGGUGGCAGAGGCCGAAAUCAGCACUGCCCAUAAUUGUGUCCCAUGUAAUCGAGCCUUUGUUGCGGCACGGUACACGUCACAUACGCCCACGUAUAUCAUGUGACUCGUGAAAAUGGCAGCGCCCCUGAAAAUUCGUCAUUGUCGAUAAAAAUUUUCUCAAAAUACUACUCACAUUGUCAAAAUAGGGUACAUAUUACAUGACCUAUUGAUACACUGUUCAUGCAAAGCACUGGAUUUCCCCUUUAACACAUUAAAAACAAGAUACAUUUUUAUUUUUAUUGCUCUUUCAUAUAACUGCAGUUAUAACGGAUCGACAAAUAAAAUGCUUAGUAUCGUCCACAACAACAACAAAAACCUUCAUUAACGCUAACACAAAGAUCAAUUACUAAUGAACAACUGAUCAUAUAAAUAUAAAGUAAAAAUAUAAAGAGCCUAAUAUGCUACCUUGGAUACUUAAACUCAGUGUAUGUUAAGAUUUGCUAAUAUUUUAGUUGUUUUUAUGCUGAAUUUGAAUCUAAAAUCUAUUAUGACGGAAACAUUUUUAUUUUUCGAUUAUCGGAAAAAAAUGAUCACACAUUGCUCGAUCCGCCGGAAAAAUACAGAAACGGGGCGGAAACAGCAGAGUAGGAACGUGACAUCACACAUAGCGUUCCACUUCAUGGCGCCACUCGACAACAAUAUGAGAACGACGACUAAUUUUCCGGUAAUUCGAGCGAUGAACAUGAUUCUGAAGGGUCUCACGAAGACGGUGAAGAAUACCAGCUUUACAAAGAAGUUAAAGGUUAUACAUUUGAGCCAGUUACACAGCACAUACUUUCAAAAUAGCUGGCGAUGGAGUUGCCGACCGAGCAGUGAGACCCAGCUAGGAGGACAUGCUUGUUUUGGAAAAAAGGGGCUGGCGAACUUGUGUAUCGGCUCGCAUCCCUCGUAAUCGUUGCGAGGCUUUGAAGAGCGGGCCGACGAGUAAUUCCGGAAAAAGAUUCAGUGAAUUGAGAUGCCUGAAAAACACACAAAUGUAAAUAGUACCAGGGAGACCGUGCCGAAGGCUGCCACACUGGUAGGGUUCCACGCUGAGGCUAAUUGAAUCACGAGCCAUAUCCACCGAGGGAAAGACAGACAUCCGUUUAUGCACCCGACGAGAAGUGGAUUAUGAGCCCCAGACCAUCAACGCAGAGACCAAUCAUCAGGUAACUUCUUUCCCUUUCGGCAUGUCCCGAUUAGGGGUCGCCACAGGGUGUCAUCUUUUUCCAUCUCAGCCUAUCUCGUGCAUCCUCCUCUCAAACACCCACUGUCCUCCCUCACAACAUCCAUCAGCCUUCUCCCUCUUUUGCUUGGCAGCUCCAACCUCAGCACCCUUCUCCCAACAUACUCACUCUCUCGACUCUGAACAUGUCCAAACCAUCAAAGUGUGCUCCCUCUCACCUUGUUUAAGAAACAUCCAACUUUGGCUUUCCCUCUAAUGAGCUCAUUUCUAAUCCUACCCAACCUGUUCAAACCAAGCAAGAACCUCAGCAUCUUCAUUUCUGAUACCUCCAGUUCUGCUUCCUGUUGUUUUUUUCAGAGCCACCAUCUCUAAUCCAGCCGGCCUCAUCACUGUUUUAUAAACGUUGCCCUUCAUCCUAGCUGAGACUCUUCUGUCACAUAGGACACCAGAGACCUACCGCCAGCUGUUCCUCCCUACUUGGACCCGUUUCAUGACUUCCUUACCACACUCUCCAAUGCUCUGUAUAGGUGACACCAAGUAUUUGAAGCCGUCCACCAUCGUGAUCACUUCUCCCUGGAGCUUCACUCUUCCACCUCCGCCCCUCUCAUUCACACACAUAUAUUCCGUUUUACUUUGGCUAACCUUCAUUCCUCUCCUUUCCACUGCGUACCUCCAUCUCUCUAAUUGUUCCGCCGCCUGUUCCCUGCUUUCACUGCAGAUCACAAUAUCAUAGUCCAAGGGGAUUCCAGUCUAACAUCAUCUGUCAGCCUAUCCAUUACUACCGCAAACAGGAAGGGGCUCAGCGCAGAACCCUGAAGCAGUCCCACCUCCACCUUAAAUUCUUCUGACACACCAACAGCACAUCUCACCGCUGUUCUGCUGCCCCCAUACAUGUCCUGUAUUAUUCUAACAUAUUUGUCCGCCACACCAGAAUUGCGCAUGCAGUACCACAGUUUCUCUCUUGGUACUCUGUUAUAGGGUUUCUCUAAGUCUACAAAGAUACAAUUUAGCUCCUUCUGACCUUCUCUGUACUUUUCCACGAGCAACCUCGAGGCAAAUGGUGCAUCUGUGGUACUCUUUCUAGGCAUGAAACCAUUUUGUUGCCCGCACAUACUUCUGUCCUGAGUCUAGCCUCCACUACUCUUUCCCAUAACUUCAAUGUGUGGCUCAUCAACCUCCUUCAGAUUACACUGUAUGUACAAAUCCACCUGUGUGCUUAUACCUCCACUCUUGGAGGUCACACUACGUUCCUGUCUCUUCCGGUAGUAAGUGUUCACCACUGCCAAUUCCAUCCUUUUUGCGAAGUCCACCACCAUCUGUCCCUCAAAGUUCCUUUGCUGAAUGCCGUACUUACCAAUCACUUCUUCAUCGCCCUUGUUUCUUUCACCAGCAUGUAAAUUUAAAUUUGCA